Molecule: ribosomal RNA, 422 nt
Filed under: uncultured bacterium
Lineage: Bacteria
Description: bacterial SSU rRNA
Rfam family: Bacterial small subunit ribosomal RNA
Source: RNAcentral
UGAGGAAUAUUGGUCAAUGGGCGUAAGCCUGAACCAGCCAAGUCGCGUGAAGGAUGACUGCCCUAUGGGUUGUAAACUUCUUUUGUAAGGGGAGAAUAAAUUCUACGUGUAGGAUGAUGACAGUACCUUACGAAUAAGCAUCGGCUAACUCCGUGCCAGCAGCCGCGGUAAUACGGAGGGUGCGAGCGUUAAUCGGAAUCACUGGGCGUAAAGCGCACGUAGGCGGCGUGGUAAGUCGGGGGUGAAAUCCCACAGCUCAACUGUGGAACUGCCUUCGAUACUGCCAUGCUUGAGUGUCGGAGAGGGUGGCGGAAUUCCGGGUGUAGGAGUGAAAUCCGUAGAUAUCCGGAGGAACACCGGUGGCGAAGGCGGCCACCUGGACGAAAACUGACGCUGAGGUGCGAAAGCGUGGGUAGCAAACA